Molecule: ribosomal RNA, 359 nt
Filed under: uncultured bacterium
Lineage: Bacteria
Description: bacterial SSU rRNA
Rfam family: Bacterial small subunit ribosomal RNA
Source: RNAcentral
ACUGAGUAACGCUACGGUAUGUUCACACGUUGUAGUCGUACGGAAAAGACAUCUCUAGUGGCGAACGGGUGAGUAACACGUAUUUGCCUUUAGGAAGAGGAUAACUAUUAGAAAUAACUUGCUAAAACUCUAUAUGCCUUACGGUGAAAAAAGAAAUUUGCCUAAAGAGAAGCUCGCGUCUGAUUAGCUAGUUGGUGGGGUAAGGCCUACCAAGGCGACGAUCAGUAGCUGGUCUGAGAGGAUGAUCAGCCACACUGGAACUGAGACACGGUCCAGACUCCUACAGGGAGGCAGCCAGUGAGGAAUUAUAGCACAAUGGGGGAAACCCUGACGCAGCAACGACAGCGUGGAGGAUGAAG